CGACGAUUCAAAAACAUGAAAACCCAUUAUAAAAGAGCACAGCAAAGGAAGUGGAGGCGAUUGUGAGGGCUAAGGGUGCAGUCCCAGCAACCAUUGGGAUUCUUGAGGGCAGGAUUCAUGUGGGCCUUUCUUCAGAUGAACUGGACUUCCUGGCACAAAGCAAAACAGCACUAAAAGUGUCCAGAAGCGAUCUACCUUAUGUCAUCAGCAAGGGUUUGUCGGGUGGCACAACUGUCUCCAGCACAAUGAUUGCGGCUCACAGGGCUGGGAUUCCUGUCUUUGUAAUUUUUGUAGGCAUUGGAGGAGUACAUAGAGAUGG
Sinocyclocheilus grahami is the source of this 319-nucleotide long non-coding RNA. RefSeq lists it as uncharacterized. Lineage: Eukaryota; Metazoa; Chordata; Actinopteri; Cypriniformes; Cyprinidae. The transcript has 3 exons. The record is from RefSeq and is a predicted model, not a curated record.